Molecule: transfer RNA, 77 nt
Filed under: Candidatus Nitrosopumilus sp.
Lineage: Archaea; Thermoproteati; Nitrososphaerota; Nitrososphaeria; Nitrosopumilales; Nitrosopumilaceae
Description: Nitrosopumilus sp. tRNA-Ile
Rfam family: tRNA
About the family: Transfer RNA (tRNA) molecules are approximately 80 nucleotides in length.
Source: RNAcentral
UGGGCUCGUAGCUCAGCUUGGCUGGAGCGUUCGACUGAUAAUCGAAAGGUCAUGAGUUCGAAUCUCAUCGGGCCCAU